GAUGAACGCUGGCGGCGUGCCUAAUACAUGCAAGUCGAGCGAACAGAUGAGGAGCUUGCUCCUCUGACGUUAGCGGCGGACGGGUGAGUAACACGUGGUUAACCUACCUAUAAGACUGGGAUAACUUCGGGAAACCGGAGCUAAUACCGGAUAAUAUAUUGAACCGCAUGGUUCAAUAGUGAAAGACGGUUUUGCUGUCACUUAUAGAUGGAUCCGCGCCGCAUUAGCUAGUUGGUAAGGUAACGGCUUACCAAGGCAACGAUGCGUAGCCGACCUGAGAGGGUGAUCGGCCACACUGGAACUGAGACACGGUCCAGACUCCUACGGGAGGCAGCAGUAGGGAAUCUUCCGCAAUGGGCGAAAGCCUGACGGAGCAACGCCGCGUGAGUGAUGAAGGUCUUCGGAUCGUAAAACUCUGUUAUUAGGGAGGAACAAAUGUGUAAGUAACUAUGCACGUCUUGACGGUACCUAAUCAGAAAGCCACGGCUAACUACGUG
RNAcentral lists this ribosomal RNA (497 nucleotides) under uncultured bacterium. Its description in RNAcentral is "partial 16S ribosomal RNA". It matches the Rfam family "Bacterial small subunit ribosomal RNA", at positions 28 to 507 of the family's 1533-position model. The record is from RNAcentral.